Molecule: ribosomal RNA, 408 nt
Filed under: bacterium enrichment culture clone ALO1_GLFRUDD03HD5HO
Lineage: Bacteria
Description: bacterial SSU rRNA
Rfam family: Bacterial small subunit ribosomal RNA
Source: RNAcentral
GAGUUUGAUCGUGGCUCAGAUUGAACGCUGGCGGCAUGCCUUACACAUGCAAGUCGAACGGCAGCACGGGAGCUUGCUCCUGGUGGCGAGUGGCGAACGGGUGAGUAAUGCAUCGGAACGUAUCCUGGAGUGGGGGAUAACGUAGCGAAAGUUACGCUAAUACCGCAUAUUCUGCGAGCAGGAAAGCGGGGGACCUUCGGGCCUCGCGCUCUUGGAGCGGCCGAUGUCGGAUUAGCUAGUUGGUGAGGUAAAGGCUCACCAAGGCGACGAUCCGUAGCAGGUCUGAGAGGAUGAUCUGCUACACUGGAACUGAGACACGGUCCAGACUCCUACGGGAGGCAGCAGUGGGGAAUUUUGGACAAUGGGGGCAACCCUGAUCCAGCCAUGCCGCGUGAGUGAAGAAGGCCU